Osmia lignaria (orchard mason bee) is the source of this 8112-nucleotide RNA transcript. It is a transcript of the gene named RNA binding protein fox-1 homolog 2, with no coding region annotated. Lineage: Eukaryota; Metazoa; Arthropoda; Insecta; Hymenoptera; Megachilidae. The record is from RefSeq and is a predicted model, not a curated record.
GCUAGGAGCGGGAUCGUCAGUCGCAAAGGGACCACGCACGGUGACGGUCGUGUGUUUGUCGCAAGAAAGAGAGAACGUGCUAUAGGACGAAGGGAGCUAAGGACAAAGAAAGAGAGUUGGAGAAGGACGUUAGAGGAGGCAACAGAAAUACGUAGACAUUUUCGCGGUCGUUCGUGGUUCGACGAGUUUCGCGGGUCCCGCUCGGUCGUGUUCGCGUGAAAGAGUUUUUAACCUCGUCGUUCGAUUAUCGUGCGUCGUCUCGGUCCGUUCUGGUGCGUGUGGAUCGGCGCGCGCGCGUUUGUGUCCGUGUGUGCGUGAAAAACACCGCACCGUCUCUCGUUACGCUUGUGUGUUACACAUACGGUUAGCACGUAUACAGAGAGAUCUACGUGCGACGGAAAGAGAGAAGGAAUCACCGGGUCGCGUACAGUGUGAACGAAACCGACAGAGUAAGAGAAAGAACGAAAGAAAGAGAGAAUAAGAAAAGCGACACAACUGUGAAGAGGAGAGCAGUGGAGGUGGGCGAGGAGGGGGAGGAGGUACGGAGUGUUGGAUUUGUUUUCUCGCACAACGGUGGAGCAAAACGGCCUCAAACUGUGGGGCUCUGGGGCGUUUUUUCUUCCUCCGCAAGGGAUGUACUACCCCCACAUGGUGCAGACAGGAAUGGCUGCGCCCUACGGUGGGGGUGUCUUCCCCCCGCCGGUGAACGGUGUAGCGGGUGUCGUUGGGGCGGCUGGUGCAGCCGGUGAAGUAAAACCACCACCACCGGUGCCUGUUAAAGAGGACAACAGCGGAGCACCCCAACAACCUCCACCUAGUGGACCUCAGGUACCACCACCAGCAGGCGCCCCACAUCCAACCGCCCCUGGUGCCCCAACCGCGGCUAGCUUUAGCCCACCCCCGCCUCCAAACGGCGUGGAUCAACAGGCUAUCUCGGAGGUGUUUCAGGCAGCAGUGGCAGCUGCAGCAGCUGCAGCUGCUGGUGGCGGUGGUCAGCAAGCAGCUCCGACGCAAGCCGGAAACGAGACGAACCCCGAAGGUGCCGUCGAAGGCAAUGCUUUACCUGUAACUUCCGGCGCGACCACACCAGCAACCGCGACACAGGGUACCGACCUGAAAGGUCAGCCAAAGCGCCUUCACGUCAGCAAUAUACCUUUCCGUUUCCGUGACCCUGAUCUCAGGGCAAUGUUUGGGCAAUUCGGGCCAAUCCUCGACGUGGAAAUCAUAUUUAACGAAAGGGGAAGCAAGGGAUUCGGUUUUGUAACAUUCGCAAAUAGUGCUGACGCGGACCGGGCACGUGAGAGGCUACACGGCACCGUGGUUGAGGGCAGAAAGAUUGAGGUGAACAACGCGACAGCGAGGGUGCAGACGAAAAAACCACCGACGGUACCCAACGUAUGCGUACAAUGGCCAGAGGCCGCGGCACUGAGAGGAGUCGCCAUCCAACGAGGAAGGGUAGGAGCUGCGAGGGCGGCUUUCCCGACAAGUGCAGCGGCAUUGGCCCUCGCUAGGAACCCGGGGCCACUUGCAGCUGCAGCUGCAGCCACGGCCCUGCAUCCCUUUGCACCAGCCGUUUAUUACGACCCCUUCCUAGCAGCACAUGCAGCGACGCAGGAUCCUAACUACAGGCUACAGCUGGAAUGGCCUCAAGCAACAGCUGACGCCGCGGCAGCAGCAGCUGCAGCGUCACCAUUGCUGAAGACACCCCUCUCGACGGCCCAGCAGGCCACCUACGCAGCUGCAGCGACCUACACGGCAGUAGCUGCGCGCGCAUACGGCGCAGCUGCAGCUGCGGCACAACCGGUCGCAGGAUAUGCCGCAGUCGCGGGACAAACAGGUCGACGUGGUCGAGUCAUCAGAAGUCGCAGAUACGCCGAUACCCAGAUGCACCUUGAUAGUCCUAUCGAAAACCCCGAUAGUCCUUUAUAAACCUAUAGAGACAUGUCCUAACUUACGGGCGUGAAUACGCCGAUCCCUACCUUGGACAUGGUAUUGGACCAGUAGCCGGCUAUGGGGCGACAGUGUACAGGGGUGGAUACAACAGGUUCACGCCGUAUUAAGAUUCGAAGGAUAACGAGGCACGAGCCUUCCAAGAGUACACCGUUAUACUCAGCUAAACAUGACCAGAAUAAAUCGACACAAUCAUCAUCCUCAUCCGCCAUCGAUCAUGAUCCUCCCACGAAGCGAUGCCUGGAUUCUCCGCGCAUGCUGACGCUAGCACCAACGUGGCUCUCGACGUGAAACAAAAAAGAAAAAUGACUCUCUGUAAACAAAAAUGAUUGUCGAAAAAAAAAAAAAGAAAAAUCCAGAUUAAGUCACAGCUCGAACAGAUUCGAAAACGGGCAAAACGAUUACUAUUGUUGACGAAGGAUGACGAACAAAGGAGUCUCCCGGCAAUUGGAAGAAAAAUAAGGGAACGCGUUCGACAAGCAACAGGAAGAUCAAAGGAAUUGGAAUAAUACGAAGAACGCUUUGAAUUUGAAUGGAUUUAAAGCGUGCUCGGAGUUGGAGAUAGUUUUCGGCAGGGGUUGCGAACCACAUGACACAAAGGCUUGCUCGAAACGUCGUCAAAGUUUCGAAAGGCAGGCCUGUCUGAUCGAUAAUCGAGGGAGGUAAACGCGGAGAGACGAGGAAAUUGAUAAACCGAAUUACUGGGACAAAGAGGACCGGUUAAAUCGAAUUUCAGCUUUUCGAACAUGCUAAACAUUCGAACAUCCUGCUUCCAUUAGAGAAAGAAUACUGUUAACCCUUUGAUGGCUAGAACAUUUGCCACUUUAACCCUGUGAGAAUAGAACAAUUUUUUUAUAUCAUAUAUUGCAGCUCUGAUUAUUAGGAAUAGGGGUAGGUGUUUUCCAAAUUUCAAAACUCCCGUUUUCAAUUUUAAACAUUUAUUAUAAUAGUAAUAUUACAAGUUUACAAGCUAUUCGAGAAUAAUUAAUUUUUAUAAUCCGUUCAACGAGACGAGUCAGUGUAUGUUUACAAAUUCGCGCGCUCGACGCAGGGUCAUAGCUCAGUUGUUUUCAGUUCUUCAAACGUUCCGGUCGAGGUUUGUGUACUGCGAGCCGAGCCUGCUUCGAGCACGUGAAUUUCUACGCAUUUACUGUCUCGUCUCGUUGGAGUGUAGUUAUUAAAGGUAACAAAAUUUAUAAAUUACACGGCCAUCGAGGUGUUAAUAGGUAAAUGCAACAAUUAGAGUCGGAUAGGGUUCGUUUUGAAACGUUUUCGAAGUGUUCGAUGGGAAUUCCGAAGGAGCGUGGCAUCGCGUCGUCAGACUUGUUCGUCUCGAGUUCGAAACCGGCAGCCAUUUCAUAUUUAAAAAGGGAGGGAGGAAUAUAUGGAAUAUAGCCGGUGUACGUGUAUAUAUACGUGUGUAUAUACAUAUAUAUAUAUAUAUAUAAAUAUAAUAGGUAGAUAGAUAGAUAUAGGUAAUUGAUCUCUUUAGAAAUCAAUUGUAAUUAUGCAAUUCGUUGCUCGUGCACGUCUCGUUGGAGGUAACUUUUAGACGCGUUUCGGGGUAAGUUUUAUCGCGAGUACAUUUUAAAUUGCAUAUAAAGAAAAGCUCUGUAAUAAAAAAAAAAAACAAUUGUACACGAUGAAUUUUGUACAUAAUUCAUUUGAUUUCAUUAAAUCGGGAAGCGGAUAUAUGCGAAUAUGAGUCUCGAAUACGAGCCAGUUGUUCAUAAUUUUCUAUUUUAUUUUUUUUUUUUAUAUAUCACUUUAAUUCGUUAUUUUUCUUUAGAAAUCAAUGAUCGCUCGAGCCACUCGUCGAACUUUCUCAGACAGAAACCGGAUGUGUACGGUCAAGUCAGGGAGAAUUGAAAGUUGUCGCAAAUGGCUGCCGGAAAGGGAACUCUUCUUUCGUAUCGACUGGAUGAACUUCCGGGUACAACUAGUCGAUAUAAUCGGUGACCCACGACAGACGAUAGACCAUUUCGUUCGUUUUCUUCUUUUGUUUAGUUAGGUAGCCAAGAGAGAGGCGACGAGAGCGGCGAGGCAGUUACGCGUGUCCGGUAGGGUUUCUAUGCCAAAUAAGUGUAUGCGUGUGUGUGGGUAUAUGUGUGUUUAUGAGUAAAUUUGAAAAUCGAACCAUGACCAUAGAAUAGUAGGAGAGAACCCUGAACAGAGCCAAUACAGCCAGAUUCUGACAGAUAGAAUCUAGUCAAAAGUGUUUCUACUAAUUUCUAAUGAAGAUUAUGGCAAAGCAACCUCUUUAAAUACUCGUAAUCUUGUCCAUGCUUCAAUAGAAAGUAGAACGAGGCAGCAUUUUCUUUAAUCAGUGAUCAAGAUUAUUUAGGAAUAUAUUUGAACAAAUUUCGUAGUUGUAGGUUGAAGCAAGUUGGACGGGGAUUCUUUGCUCUCUUAUUUUUUUUUAUCGCUUUUGGUGGAGGAGUUGGAAUUGUGAUAUAAUAAAAAAGAAUCACAGCAAUUGUAAAGAAACAAUCUCCAUCCAAGAUAUUGAAUCAAAUAUUCCAAUUUCUCUACCAAAAAAAAAAUCAUCCCUAUGCUAUCCAUAAUUUUCGUCCAGAACUAUGGUAGAAUUUCAUUAAAUUCCUAACGAAGCUCAAAUCUAAUGAUCGAGAACGCUUGUACCUUCGAUAAACUCAAUCAUGAAAUAUUCUUCACGUUCCUCGCACAAUAGUCUUUAAUUCUCUCUAUCCAUGGACUGAUUUAUUUUUCAUUUUAACCCUUCUUUGAAUUUCCCAAGCGAUUAUUUAAAUUUCUCUUGCAACAUUAAUGAAAGUUUAAUCCAAAGGAGGGUUAAAGGACCAACCCCCCAGGUGGUUCGUCCAAAAAUUAAAGUUCCUCGAUUCGAUACCGCGUUCUCGAUCACCACGAUUACCCUUUCUACGUAACGAAAAUCGGUCAUGUUAAUUUCUUUCACAUUGACGAUUCGCAAAAUCGAGUAACAACACACAUACACACACGGAGAGACAUAAGAAUAAAGUACUCCGAAACAGGGGGUUAAACGCAAAAGGGAAAAUGGUACGCACAUUGAGCCGAGUGAGUAAUAAUCCCUGUUACAAGUUCUAGUUAAGUGGAGAUUUAUCGUAAUAAACAUAUACAUAGAAUAAAUGAAUAAAUAUAUAUAUAUAAAUAUAUAUAUAUAUAUAUAGAUAAGUGGUUGCAUGAUUCGAUGUGAAAGCAUAAAUGGGGAAAGGUGUGAAUGAAAAAGAAUGCGUGCGAGAAAGAACAGAGAGGCGGGAAUGAAAAAGAAGGUGACAAAACGUUGGGGGCGGGGGGGUUGGAAAAUGAAAAGGAAGAGUAAGAGGAGGAAAAUUACACAACAAAAGAGUCGUGUGUGAAAUAGCCAAAUAUGACAAAGAUGUUCUUCACAACUUUUUAUUUUCUUUUUCUUUUCUGUUCGUUCUUCUUUUCUACGUAGAUAGUUCGUGACAGAUUAGUUCACUGUCAUCGGUUAUAUACGUUUUAACUCGUAAAUCUAUCGCUAGGAUAGUUACAUAUAUAGGCUAGGAAAAGAGACAGUGAAAGGAUAUAAAAAAUAAAAAUAAUCAUACUCUCAUGGUUUUUUUUUCUCGUUUUGCGUGUGCGAGCGCCAGUACAUGUAAAUAUGAAUUUGGGAUCGAUGAAACGAUUUCGACCAGCACAAAACUUGUUUUAAGAGCUAAGCCGAACAAUUCUCAGACAUACUCAUGAUUCUUGUAACGUUUAAAUUAACGAGCGUAGAUUUUAAUGCAAACUACAAAUGACCGUAAACGGAAGAGGAAAGAUACUAGUGAUUAAUUGCAAUCCCAAUGCGAGGAAGCUGGGAUAAAAUGAUCGAUGAUGAUUCUUGGAAUUCUUUGAACUUAAGGGGUCGUGUCAUCUUGAUCAGUCCAAAGAAAGCAUCGCAUUUCUGAAAAUUUAUUUCCGAGUUACAGAAACAUUUUUUUUUUAAUAAAAAUUGAUCAAUGAAAACGGAGACGUGUUGGUAGAAAAAUAGUUAUGGUUUUUAGCCCUCUACUUUUGCAACUGAUCAAGAUGGCUCAACCCUUUUCUCUCGUCAUUCGUUCUACACCAUCGUUCUUCUUCGAUCGAAUGCUUUCUUUUCUUAUACGUAAGUGCUCGAGGAUAAUAUUGAUAUUGGAAAUGAUACGCCAAGAUGGUUCGUCCUAGCGGAACGAGGGUGUUGGAACGAAUAAAUCGGACGAACGAUCUAUCCCUGUAUAUUGUACACUGUAAUUACAAUUUAUACUUUACUCGUAAUACCUUUAUCGGUAGGCUAUUACAACUAGUGGCUAGCGUAAGUGAAGCUCAAAUCUAGGCGAGAACCCAUCGUCUUAUUCUUCGUCACGAGUGCACAACUUCCCUCCUCCCCCAUUGAUUCCUCCUCUUCUUGUUCCUUGACUCUUGAUAUCGUUCUUUCAGCGUGUUCUCCGAUUCCGUACGCAGGCCUAUCAAUGAUUUUCGACUGUGUCUUCGAUCUUCUUUGCUUUCUUUGCCAUUUCUUUUCUUUUUAUUCAUUCCGGCUGCGCGUCGAACCGACUGACCAUACGCUCGAAAUCUCUAUCAUAUUUAAUUGUUCAUUUCAUUCGAAUAUUGUAAUAUUUUACGUAGGGUGUUUCGUAAAAGAUGACUAUUCAAUUUACUAUAUUUUUCUAAAAAUCGUUACGUUCUUAUCCAUAAGAAAAAUAUUUACUAUUAUAUUCGCAUUCGCUAUGAAAAAAAAAUGAUUUCUCCAGCUAAGCACAUUCAAAGUUUGAUGAAUUUACGAAACACCCCGUACAUGGAUCAAAAGGCAAAAGAACAAGUAAAGUCGACGGAUAACCCGAUGAAUUCUGUACAAAGGAACGUUCGAGAAACUUAGAGUCUAGCCAGGUACGGAUUAGAGAUUAGAGAAAAUAGCGUCUGUUUCUGAAUCUUAGAAAAAGUCAGAUACCAGUCCUCUCGAUUAACUAGCGAUCAGCUUAUUUAUGAUAUAAAUUCGUUCAAGUGCUUCGCGUGUUUAUCGUCUAUCGAUUUUUGGUGCGUCUGAACAGCGCACAACAAGUUUCUUCUCUCUUCUUGAGCGAGCAAGAAUUAAUUGUACAAAAUGCGUGAUUGUAACGUGCUCGAUUGGUUCGUCAGUCGUUUGGAUGCGUCCUCUUUAAACAUCAAAAUCUUUUCAAUAGAAGAAAAAAAAAAAGAAAGAAACACUUAUUGAAUUUCGCGCGUAUUUUUUAUUUCCCCGCGUUUAUUCGAAUCCAGCGGCUGGCGGUAAUUCGCAUUGUAAGAUAAUCCAAUAACGACCGAUACGCACCGUAACGUUAUACAUACAUAUAAAUAUACGAUGAUAUGAGAUAUAUAUUAAUUAUUAUAAAGCAGUACCGUAAACGGGAUUUUUAAAAAAAAAAAAAGUAAAUCUAGAUGACUUACAUGACUUACGUGGAAAAAAAAAAAAAAAAAACGACACAUCUUUACGAGCAACAUAUCCUAGCGUACUAGGCGACGCCUAGUAAAAGAAAAAUAAGGGAUGUUCCAUGACAUUAGGGCGUUAAUAAGUCGUAAAUUGUUAGUGAUGCGUGCGUGGAUGAUACGGGGGAUGCGUCCGUGUAUUGUACUUGAUGAAAGAUGUAAUCGAUCCUCUUCGAAUCGUCAUGGAAAGAAUGUUCUCCGAGGUCUCCGAUUUAUUCACGAUUUUAUUCAUUGUAAUACGAGAACCUUUGGAGAACGAUCGGAGGAGUAAAAUUGAUUAAAAUGAAGCGAUUCGUUGAGACACAUGGGGGAAGGGUUAAAAGAAUAAUAAUGAAAGGUAGUAAUAAAGGUUGGAGGGGGAAUAUUGAGAUGAAAAAAUGAUAAAAUACAAAAAAAGGAAUAGAGAACAUCGUAAGCAGCUAAAUGCCACCUGUUUCUUCGCUUCUCUCGCCGAUGUAAACGGAUUCGCAACGGGUGGGCCCUGUGGGAAAUCGUUUUUCUUGGUUUCCGAUUGCGAGACUACCUCUUCAGGAUAAAACGUAAGCGAUUUACGGUAAAUAUUAUACGCGAGAACAGACACAGGGAUGAUGUUAAUUCGAAAGGAAAAUCGCAAGGAAAGCAAGAAACGUUCAGGUGCAUACACGAGAGAACGAGAAUACGAUCAACUCGAGAUAACUUUAGUUUGCAAAAAAAGAAAAAGAAUAAAAAAAAAAAAAAGAA